CCGGACAUACGUGUUGCAAAUUUAAGUGUGCAAACCCAAAGUUGGAGGAUAUAAAUGUGAAAUGAGGCUUCAAAUCGACAUUCAAACUUUCACUGAAUUGUGUGCUAGCUAUUGAUACCACCUAAAAUAAUUUCUCUCAAUGCAUAGAACCACGCGGUUAUAUUUCUCAAACAUAAGCAUAGUAUUCCAAACAACUACAUAUUCAUAAAUAAAUGCAUCUUCUAAAAUCACCACGAAAAGCUGCAUUAUUUUUUUCGAUAUGCCAAACACAUAACCUGUGAAUUAAUGUGAUGGACUUCAGGUAUCACAAGUGAGAUAGCAGCAACUUGGUCGUCCAUCGGUAAAAAAUGUUUUUGGUUUUCUUUCGGACACUACUCUGAA
This 381-nucleotide long non-coding RNA is filed under the name Solanum tuberosum (potato). RNAcentral's name for it is "long non-coding RNA (STUB_LNC004752)". The record is from RNAcentral. Lineage: Eukaryota; Viridiplantae; Streptophyta; Magnoliopsida; Solanales; Solanaceae.